This is a long non-coding RNA of Pseudopipra pipra, 2329 nucleotides long. RefSeq lists it as uncharacterized. NCBI's taxonomy places the organism in Eukaryota, Metazoa, Chordata, Aves, Passeriformes, Pipridae. The transcript has 4 exons. The record is from RefSeq and is a predicted model, not a curated record.
CUCUGCGGGAGGAGAGCAGCAGUGGGGAGAGAGUUUGAAGCAGGUCUGGCCAUGCCACAUGCAUGCUCUCCCUUCUUCUGUCCCCAGUUUCCACCUCAGGACGGGUGGUGAGUAGCUGGAAAACUCCUCUCAGGAUCAUUCCGACCUCCCCAUCGGAGGUGAAGGAUUUGCUGCGUGCUCGCCAGGUAUGGAUCCAGCCAGGACAGAAGUGCUGUCCCUCCCUAAGCCAUUGAUGCUGAUAACGAGCUACAAGCAGCAGAGAUGCCUGAUAUUGAUUAAUCCAGCACCUCUGGCAGGCAUUCAUCACAGCCCAGGGCAGGGCUGGGCCAGAUGGGUCUCAUCCAUCCUCCAGCCCCACGCCUACAGAUCCAGGUCCUCCUUCCUGUCCCACCACCGUCACCAGCAACAUCCCUGGAGGAUGCAGGUCCCUCGGCAUGGCAGUGUCAGCACACAGGAAAGAGGAGAGAAGCUCUCUGGGGGUGCCAGGCUGCAUAACAAGGCUGCCAUCCCAGCAGCCACGUCAGCAUUCCCAAGAGGCAGCGGGCAGGCUGGAAACCCCCAGGGCUCAGCACUGGUGGCGAGGAGAGGAAGGAAAAAGGGCUCGUUCGGAGGUGACAGCCCCACUUAGGUCCUGGCGGUGGUGGAGUGGGUUUCCCAGGGCGGCUAUCAUGGGGUGACCCUUUGCUGCAGUCAGUGGACCCCAGUGCUGCCAAAUCUGGUUCUCUGCUGACAAGAAACCCCCUCCAGCUUUGGCCCCACACAUAUAGCUUCCCACUGCAGCAGUCCAGGGGGUGAUGGCACUAGGGACAUGCCAGAGGGUCAGUCAGGGUAGCUUUUCACAUGCUGGUCAGUCAGCAGCACCCCAGCCCCAGAUGGCUGUCAGUCCAGGUAGGCUCAGUAACUUGGCACAGAGAUGUCUAUGUGCAUGGCAAAAGGACAAAGGGGCUGAAGGAUGAAUCCCACGUGCAUGCUGGCCCUUCUGCUCUCCCCAGUUUCCAGUUCAGGGCAGAUCAGUAGGUGGAGGAUGUCCAAAGGGGCUGGAGUAUGCAUGAGACCCAUCCAGCCCAGUGGGCUCUGUGCCUCCUGCCUUAAGGGCUGAUUCCAGCCCAGCCUCUGCUCCAAAGCCCGCCUGGCUAAGGGCAAAUCCUGUCUGGAGCCUAGCCUGGCCACACCACGAGCAUCCCUGGGAAAGCAGCAUCUCACAUCCAUCCACCCACUGUCUGUGCUGAUGGGCAGCCUCCUCCCACACACUGGGGUCAGCUCAUGUGGAUUAGGGAGGGUCUGCCGUGCCCCCUGCAGCCCCCCACCCCACAUCUCCCUCUCGGGGUGCCCAUGGCCUCUCUCUCACCUGUAGAUCCUGUACCUGGUGGUGAAACCCUGCCGGUACCGCUCCAUGAAGUCCACGUACUCCUGGGCUCGGUAGAAGGGUCCGCGGUCGGUGAGGAGCCAGUCGAGGGGUGCCCGGGUGGAGGGGGAGGAGGAUGAAGAGGAAGGGGUCGAGGGGGCAGCAUGCUGCUGGGGCACUGUGCUGCCCGCCCCGCCAGCCACCCCCCAGCGACAGCACGCGCUCAGGGCCAGCAGGGCCAGCGGCCACGGGAGCAUCGGCGGGGGCCCGUCAGCGUGUGGGAGGUCCUGCCGCCCCAUCCUGCUGCUGUCUGGCAGGAUUCUUCAUUCUCUCACCCCACGGAGAUCCUCCAGGACAGCCCUGCCCUGCAACACGGAGCAGGGAAGCCCAUGAGGACUUGGAUAUAAACCAGGAGCAACCACAAGCUUUGGAAUGCCUGCUGGGAUGCUGACAUGGGGAAAGCUGCGAUCCAGAGAGGGCAUGGACCGGUUGUGCCACAGGAGGAGCAGAUUUAGAGAUACAGAAACUGGGAAGUGUGCACUGGGGAGAGGCAGCAGUGGUAUUUGCCAGGUGCCACGAGGAAGAACAGGAAGAUUCCAGAUGGACUCUGAAACUACCCCCUGUACAUGCUGAGUUGAAGCCCAGAGCAAAAGCGAGACCCAACAUCUGUGCCAGCGAGUUGCAUCCUCGGGCUCGCAUCCGCACGCUCCCAAGGAAGCGCCAGGGCCUCAUUAAUCUGCCGGGGUAAUUAAGAGAGCGAGCCAGGCACCGCCGGAGCGACAGCAGCGUGGUAAUCACUGGCAAAGUGGGCACGGCGGGGUGCUGUCAGCCGCCUGGCACCCGGCCCCGGAGACACGGCUCCAGGCGGCGAGCGUGGGGACAGCCACCUCGGAGCCUUCCGUCCUGCCGGAGCAGGGAUGCCGAAGAUCACGGUGGUGGCUGUGAACUGAUUCUCGCUGGGCUCCCGCAAACCACCCUCCGCAG